AACGAACGCUGGCGGCAGGCUUAACACAUGCAAGUCGAACGCACCUUUCGGGGUGAGUGGCAGACGGGUGAGUAACGCGUGGGAAUCUACCCUUCUCUACGGGAUAGCUCCGGGAAACUGGAAUUAAUACCGUAUACGUCCUGAGGGGGAAAGAUUUAUCGGGGAAGGAUGAGCCCGCGUUGGAUUAGCUAGUUGGUGGGGUAAAGGCCUACCAAGGCGACGAUCCAUAGCUGGUCUAAGAGGAUGAUCAGCCACAUUGGGACUGAGACACGGCCCAAACUCCUACGGGAGGCAGCAGUGGGGAAUAUUAGACAAUGGGCGCAAGCCUGAUCCAGCCAUGCCGCGUGAGUGAUGAAGGCCCUAGGGUUGUAAAGCUCUUUCAGUGGGGACGAUAAUGACGGUACCCACAGAAGAAGCCCCGGCUAACUUCGUGCCAGCAGCCGCUGUAA
RNAcentral lists this ribosomal RNA (449 nucleotides) under uncultured bacterium. RNAcentral's name for it is "partial 16S ribosomal RNA". It matches the Rfam family "Bacterial small subunit ribosomal RNA", at positions 29 to 523 of the family's 1533-position model. The record is from RNAcentral.